GUACCACUACAAAGCUUUGUGUUCGGUACCCGUGUGUUGUCAUUGAUUGACAUUUCAACAUUAUACAAAGCCCAGUUUUCAGUUUUAAUUAGAGCAGUGGUGGGGUAACCAUCUGGUUAAAGUGUUAGCUUGUUAUAGCAAAAGCCACAGGUUUGGAUCCCCACUUUUCAAUGUGUGAAGCCCGUUUCUCACGUCCGUUUCCAUGAUGUUGCUGAAAUAUUUUGCUGAAAGCGGAAUAAAACCACUCUCAUAUUAGUGGAGGGCCUUUAAAACUGACAAGACGGAAUCAAUAAUUCCAUCAUGUUGACAUCAAGACUCUUAAAUAAGUACAUAUUAAGAUUUCAGAAGUGUUCAAAUGACUGAUAUUGUCCCUUUCUAUAUUCAGUUGAAGGUCACAAAAUAUUCAGCUGUGAAACAAUAACAGCUAUAAUCUAGAUGGUAGCCUUGUUUUCAAAUUGAAACAUGAUUUCUGUUAUUUAUAUUUGUGUAUUUGGAUAUGUAAUGUCCAGACCAAUGGUUUAUGAAUGCAAUGCAAACAUAAUAUAGUAAUAUUGUCCCAUUCUAGUCAGAGUUAGGGAGCUGUUUGAAAACAUGAGGAUAAAGAUGUAAUGCCUUAAGUUUUCAGAUAUUUAAACACAGGUACACAAUACAGCUGAAUACAUAUCACACCUUAAGACCCCACAGCCCCCACCACAUGUACACAUCACCACUCUCUUCACACCACACCACACCACUCUCGACACACCACAAAACACAACCACUCCACUCCAUUCCACACUGUAAACAUUUGGAGUUAAGGUGAUUAUAACAGCUGCUCCUGCAUAUAUUGGAUUGUAAUAAGCAUAUUGUCUGAGAAUCAUGUAAAGGUGCAUUAGAUAAUACUCAUACAUCAUCUCAUGUGAUCUGUAUCCUCCACACCAACGGUGUACAUAUUAUCUUCUUUGAGAGGCAUUUUUAGAAGUUCUAUAGAUAUAGGAAUGACAAGUCUUUGUGGAUGAUCAACUUCUUUAUUGUGCAAUAGCGACGUUUCGGUAUAGACACUUAUACUGUUUUCUCUACAGAAACAUUGCUAUUGCACAAUAAAGAAGUUGAUCAUCCAUAAAGACUUGUUAUUCCUGCACUUGUCUUGUUAUUAUUUCAUGAUAUUCCAACAACACUUUAGUACAUGUAGUUAACACACAAUCACACACAUAUUGAAGAAUGUCAUGUGUAAUAGACUGGGGCCAUUGGGUCGCUGAUAUUUCAGUGGAGUCUUGUGAUUGUGAUACCUGAGUGAUCGAUGAUAACCUUCGAGAUGCACCUGGGAUGACUUAUGAUAAACUUGGAGAUAAACAUGGAAUGACUUGUGAUAAACUUUCAGAUGAACUUAUGAUAAACAUUGAAAUAAAUCUGUGAAGAAAUGGAUAUAUUCCCAUCUUUUCUUGUGUAAAAUGUCCAUCUGUAUCUGUUUGGGUUAUUUUGUGGAUAAAAAAUGUCCUCUUCAAAUGAAGUCUUUGCUUGAGUGAGAGAAUAAACUGUCAGAUUCUCAUUGUUACUGUAUAUAUUGAGAUGGAAGAUACAAGACAUUGUACAUCUGCUUCACUGGCAUCUUUAUUUCUAUUUUUCCUGUUU
Molecule: long non-coding RNA, 1611 nt
Filed under: Haliotis rubra (blacklip abalone)
Lineage: Eukaryota; Metazoa; Mollusca; Gastropoda; Lepetellida; Haliotidae
Description: uncharacterized LOC124254266
Source: RNAcentral